GGGGGUGUAGCUCAGAUGGCUAGAGCGCAUGACUGGCAGUCAUGAGGUCAGGGGUUCGAUUCCCCUCAUCUCCA
Transfer RNA from Thermophagus xiamenensis, 74 nucleotides. It matches the Rfam family "tRNA". From Rfam's summary of the family: Transfer RNA (tRNA) molecules are approximately 80 nucleotides in length. Their secondary structure includes four short double-helical elements and three loops (D, anti-codon, and T loops). The record is from Rfam. Lineage: Bacteria; Pseudomonadati; Bacteroidota; Bacteroidia; Marinilabiliales; Marinilabiliaceae.